GAUGAACGCUGGCGGCGUGCCUAAUACAUGCAAGUCGAGCGAACGGACGAGAAGCUUGCUUCUCUGAUGUUAGCGGCGGACGGGUGAGUAACACGUGGAUAACCUACCUAUAAGACUGGGAUAACUUCGGGAAACCGGAGCUAAUACCGGAUAAUAUUCUGAACCGCAUGGUUCAAAAGUGAAAGACGGUCUUGCUGUCACUUAUAGAUGGAUCCGCGCUGCAUUAGCUAGUUGGUAAGGUAACGGCUUACCAAGGCAACGAUGCAUAGCCGACCUGAGAGGGUGAUCGGCCACACUGGAACUGAGACACGGUCCAGACUCCUACGGGAGGCAGCAGUAGGGAAUAUUCCGCAAUGGGCGAAAGCCUGACGGAGCAACGCCGCGUGAGUGAUGAAGGUCUUCGGAUCGUAAAACUCUGUUAUUAGGGAAGAACAUAUGUGUGAGUAACUGUGCACAUCUUGACGGUACCUAAUCAGAAAGCCACGGCUAACUACGUG
RNAcentral lists this ribosomal RNA (497 nucleotides) under uncultured bacterium. RNAcentral's name for it is "partial 16S ribosomal RNA". It matches the Rfam family "Bacterial small subunit ribosomal RNA", at positions 28 to 507 of the family's 1533-position model. The record is from RNAcentral.